CGUGGAUAACCUACCUUAAGGACCGGGAUAACAUUUUGAAAAGGAUGCUAAUACCGGAUGAAGUUUAGAUAUCAGUGAGGGUAUUUAAAUGAAAGCAUAGUCUCUACUUGUAAACUAUGGCCUUAUGAGGGGUUUGCGUCCCAUUAGCUUGUUGGUGAGGUAAAGGCUCAUCCAAGGCUAAGAUGGGUAGCUGGUCCGAGAGGAUGAUCAGCCACACUGGAACUGAAACACGGUCCAG
RNAcentral lists this ribosomal RNA (238 nucleotides) under uncultured bacterium. RNAcentral's name for it is "partial 16S ribosomal RNA". It matches the Rfam family "Bacterial small subunit ribosomal RNA", at positions 116 to 334 of the family's 1533-position model. The record is from RNAcentral.